RNAcentral lists this ribosomal RNA (476 nucleotides) under uncultured bacterium. Its description in RNAcentral is "bacterial SSU rRNA". It matches the Rfam family "Bacterial small subunit ribosomal RNA", at positions 328 to 793 of the family's 1533-position model. The record is from RNAcentral.
UCAGUCGACUCCUACGGGGAGCAGCAGUGGGGGAAUAGUUGCACAAUGGGCGCAAGCCUGAUGCAGCCAUGCCGCGUGUAUGAAGAAGGCCUUCGGGUUGUAAAGUACUUUCAGCAGUGAGGAAGGCGGAGUCGUUAAUAGCGGCCUCGUUUGACGUUAGCUGCAGAAGAAGCACCGGCUAACUCCGUGCCAGCAGCCGCGGUAAUACGGAGGGUGCGAGCGUUAAUCGGAAUUACUGGGCGUAAAGCGCAUGCAGGUGGUUUGUUAAGUCAGAUGUGAAAGCCCGGGGCUCAACCUCGGAAUUGCAUUUGAAACUGGCAGACUAGAGUACUGUAGAGGGGGGUAGGAAUUUCAGGUGUAGCGGUGAAAUGCGUAGAGAUCUGAAGGAAUACCGGUGGCGAAGGCGGCCCCCUGGACAGAUACUGACACUCAGAUGCGAAAGCGUGGGGAGCAAACAGGAUUAGAUACCCUGGUAG